RNAcentral lists this ribosomal RNA (263 nucleotides) under Ehrlichia canis. Its description in RNAcentral is "partial 16S ribosomal RNA". It matches the Rfam family "Bacterial small subunit ribosomal RNA", at positions 121 to 400 of the family's 1533-position model. Lineage: Bacteria; Pseudomonadati; Pseudomonadota; Alphaproteobacteria; Rickettsiales; Anaplasmataceae. The record is from RNAcentral.
GGAAUCUACCUAGUAGUACGGAAUAGCCAUUAGAAAUGGUGGGUAAUACUGUAUAAUCCCCGAGGGGGAAAGAUUUAUCGCUAUUAGAUGAGCCUACGUUAGAUUAGCUAGUUGGUGAGGUAAUGGCUUACCAAGGCUAUGAUCUAUAGCUGGUCUGAGAGGACGAUCAGCCACACUGGAACUGAGAUACGGUCCAGACUCCUACGGGAGGCAGCAGUGGGGAAUAUUGGACAAUGGGCGAAAGCCUGAUCCAGCUAUGCCGC